This 479-nucleotide ribosomal RNA is filed under the name uncultured soil bacterium. Its description in RNAcentral is "bacterial SSU rRNA". It matches the Rfam family "Bacterial small subunit ribosomal RNA", at positions 35 to 510 of the family's 1533-position model. The record is from RNAcentral.
GCUGGCGGCGUGCUUAACACAUGCAAGUCGAACGCGCAACAUUCUGUAGCAAUACAGGGUGUGGGCGCGUGGCGAACGGGUGCGUAACACGUGGAUAACCUUCCUUCAGGUGGGGAAUAACCCCGCGAAAGCGGGGCUAAUACCGCAUAACAAAACGAUGAGACAUCUUGUUGUUUUCAAAGCCGCAAGGCGCCAGAAGAGGGAUCCGCGGCCGAUUAGCUUGUUGGCGGGGUAAUGGCCCACCAAGGCAUUGAUCGGUAGCCGGACUGAGAGGUUGGCCGGCCACACUGGAACUGAGACACGGUCCAGACUCCUACGGGAGGCAGCAGUGGGGAAUCUUGCACAAUGGGCGAAAGCCUGAUGCAGCAACGCCGCGUGGGGGAUGAAGCUUUUCGGAGUGUAAACCCCUUUCGACCCGGAAGAAAGCCCGCAAGGGUUUGACGGUACGGGUAUAAGAAGCCCCGGCUAACUACGUGCCA